Molecule: ribosomal RNA, 1431 nt
Filed under: uncultured organism
Description: 16S ribosomal RNA
Rfam family: Bacterial small subunit ribosomal RNA
Source: RNAcentral
UGGCGGCGUGCUUAACACAUGCAAGUCGAACGGAAAGGCCCUGCUUUUGUGGGGUGCUCGAGUGGCGAACGGGUGAGUAACACGUGAGUAACCUGCCCUUGACUUUGGGAUAACUUCAGGAAACUGGGGCUAAUACCGGAUAGGAGCUCCUGCUGCAUGGUGGGGGUUGGAAAGUUUCGGCGGUUGGGGAUGGACUCGCGGCUUAUCAGCUUGUUGGUGGGGUAGUGGCUUACCAAGGCUUUGACGGGUAGCCGGCCUGAGAGGGUGACCGGCCACAUUGGGACUGAGAUACGGCCCAGACUCCUACGGGAGGCAGCAGUGGGGAAUAUUGCACAAUGGGCGGAAGCCUGAUGCAGCAACGCCGCGUGCGGGAUGACGGCCUUCGGGUUGUAAACCGCUUUCGCCUGUGACGAAGCGUGAGUGACGGUAAUGGGUAAAGAAGCACCGGCUAACUACGUGCCAGCAGCCGCGGUGAUACGUAGGGUGCGAGCGUUGUCCGGAUUUAUUGGGCGUAAAGGGCUCGUAGGUGGUUGAUCGCGUCGGAAGUGUAAUCUUGGGGCUUAACCCUGAGCGUGCUUUCGAUACGGGUUGACUUGAGGAAGGUAGGGGAGAAUGGAAUUCCUGGUGGAGCGGUGGAAUGCGCAGAUAUCAGGAGGAACACCAGUGGCGAAGGCGGUUCUCUGGGCCUUUCCUGACGCUGAGGAGCGAAAGCGUGGGGAGCGAACAGGCUUAGAUACCCUGGUAGUCCACGCUGUAAACGGUGGGUACUAGGUGUGGGGUCCAUUCCACGGGUUCCGUGCCGUAGCUAACGCUUUAAGUACCCCGCCUGGGGAGUACGGCCGCAAGGCUAAAACUCAAAGGAAUUGACGGGGCCCCGCACAAGCGGCGGAGCAUGCGGAUUAAUUCGAUGCAACGCGUAGAACCUUACCUGGGUUUGACAUGGAUCGGGAGUGCUCAGAGAUGGGUGUGCCUCUUUUGGGGUCGGUUCACAGGUGGUGCAUGGCUGUCGUCAGCUCGUGUCGUGAGAUGUUGGGUUAAGUCCCGCAACGAGCGCAACCCUUGUUCACUGUUGCCAGCACGUUAUGGUGGGGACUCAGUGGAGACCGCCGGGGUCAACUCGGAGGAAGGUGGGGAUGACGUCAAGUCAUCAUGCCCCUUAUGUCCAGGGCUUCACGCAUGCUACAAUGGCUGGUACAGAGAGUGGCGAGCCUGUGAGGGUGAGCGAAUCUCGGAAAGCCGGUCUCAGUUCGGAUUGGGGUCUGCAACUCGACCUCAUGAAGUCGGAGUCGCUAGUAAUCGCAGAUCAGCAACGCUGCGGUGAAUACGUUCCCGGGGCUUGUACACACCGCCCGUCAAGUCAUGAAAGUUGGUAACACCCGAAGCCGGUGGCCUAACCGUUGUGGGGGAGCCGUCGAAGGUGGGACUGGUGAU